UACGUAGGCAGCAAGCGUUGUUCGGAGUUACUGGGCGUAAAGAGUGCGUAGGCGGUUGUUUAAGUUUGGUGUGAAAUCUCCCGGCUUAACUGGGAGGGUGCGGUGGAAACUGGGGUGCUUGAGUGUGGGAGAGGUAAGCGGAAUUCCUGGUGUAGCGGUGAAAUGCGUAGAUAUCAGGAGGAACACCGGUGGUGUAGACGGCUUACUGGACCACGACUGACGCUGAGGCACGAAAGCGUGGGUAGCAAACAGG
Molecule: ribosomal RNA, 253 nt
Filed under: uncultured bacterium
Lineage: Bacteria
Description: partial 16S ribosomal RNA
Rfam family: Bacterial small subunit ribosomal RNA
Source: RNAcentral